This 913-nucleotide unclassified non-coding RNA is filed under the name Hevea brasiliensis (rubber tree). The record is from RNAcentral. Lineage: Eukaryota; Viridiplantae; Streptophyta; Magnoliopsida; Malpighiales; Euphorbiaceae.
CAAGAACACAGUGGAGAAGUUGCUGGUCAAAAUUCUGCUCCACAAUCAGGAUUUGUCUGGGAUGAAGCCUCUGGCUAUUAUUAUGAUGCGACUUCUGGUUUCUAUUAUGAUGGAAAUACAGGAUUGUAUUAUGACGGUAACAAUGGAAUCUGGUAUACUUAUGAUCAGAAAACUCAGCAAUAUUUACCCUGCACGAAUCAGAAUGAAAACAAACCAGCAGCUGGACAAACUGAAACUGCCAAGUCAUCUGAUGGCUCAAAUACUAAGAAAGUCAUUAUAUCUGCACCAGCUUCCACAAUUGCUGGUGAGAAGGCUGCCUCACUGCCGGAUGCUAUUCAGGCUGCUGCCUCUGCAGCAAUAGCUGCUGAAAAGAAAGAGAAGGAGAAGGCAAAAGAGAUAAAACUUGCAUCAAAAAGCAGCAUCCUUGCAAAUAAGAAGAAAAUGAGUAAUGUAUUGUCAAUGUGGAAGCAAAGAAGUCACGAAGGUCAAGCCCCCCGUGUGGCUCUUGAAGACAGCCAAACAGUGGGUGAAGACAGAUCUAACUCAGUAGGUCCAGUUGUAAAGACUAAGUUAAAAGCUGAGCCCUUGACAACUAGAGAGAAUCCUACUGCCUGUUCAGGACUUGUAGGAAGCUCAAAUUUUCAAUCUGUGAGUUCCGAGACUCAGGAUAGGCCUAGGUCUCUUACUAACAGCUCUGGGGGCACUCUGAAGGGCGUCAUAAGAGGUUCUGGUUUAGGAGUGGUGAAAUCGGGUACUCUAUAUACAGGAUCAUCUGGAAGUGCAUCCACGUCACACACCAUGCCACCAACCUCAGGUCCAACUUCAUUAAUAAAUGCAGAUGCCUCUGCAGCACCCUUUAGGACAGAUGCAUCGGCUUUGGGUUCUUAUACACCCCCAGUACCAGCUGGUAGUA